Molecule: long non-coding RNA, 511 nt
Organism: Lepisosteus oculatus (spotted gar)
Lineage: Eukaryota; Metazoa; Chordata; Actinopteri; Semionotiformes; Lepisosteidae
Source: RefSeq, a predicted model, not a curated record
GGCCACCAUAGGUUGACCUGUCCUGGGUGUCAUGAGUGCCAAACAAACAGCUCUGGCUUGUUGAAGCCCUUGUUGGACAGCAGGAUGGAGUGGAUAGCAGAAGCUGUGUGAAAGUCAUCGGUGUGACCGGAGCAGAAGUAAAGGUGGCAACACAUUUCCUUGUAAAGCUACACCUCAUUCUUAAGCUGUUGAAUAAAGCAAGGUUUUAUGAAGUUUCAACUGCAAAAUGAUGGUGAAACCUGAGGAACUUAUUAAAGCUUCAGGAGUAGGAUUUUCAACUGUUCUUUUGGAAAACAAUGUGCUGAAGUGGAGAUUUACAGAUUUAAGAAAAUGGACUGUCAAUCGCAAGCCUGUAUUUCCUGCUGCUGAACUCUGACAACCUGUCCAUCCUAACAAGAGAUACAAUAUACAUUUUUCCCCUUACUCUGAUGUUUCAAGUUUUGUAUUGUCAGUUGUGGAAAUCCAUAUUUUUGUUGCUCUCAACCAAACCCUCAACACAAAGAAUCCAUAA